UGCUUCACUAGCUCAGUAGGCAGAGCGUCAGUCUCAUAAUCUGAAGGUCGAGAGUUCGAACCUCCCGUGGAGCAUC
This 76-nucleotide transfer RNA is filed under the name Candidozyma haemuli. Its description in RNAcentral is "[Candida] haemuloni tRNA-Met". It matches the Rfam family "tRNA". Rfam says of the family: Transfer RNA (tRNA) molecules are approximately 80 nucleotides in length. Their secondary structure includes four short double-helical elements and three loops (D, anti-codon, and T loops). Further hydrogen bonds mediate the characteristic L-shaped molecular structure. tRNAs have two regions of fundamental functional importance: the anti-codon, which is responsible for specific mRNA codon recognition, and the 3' end, to which the tRNAs corresponding amino acid is attached (by aminoacyl-tRNA synthetases). tRNAs cope with the degeneracy of the genetic code in two manners: having more than one tRNA (with a specific anti-codon) for a particular amino acid; and 'wobble' base-pairing, i.e. permitting non-standard base-pairing at the 3rd anti-codon position. Lineage: Eukaryota; Fungi; Ascomycota; Pichiomycetes; Serinales; Metschnikowiaceae. The record is from RNAcentral.